GUAAGCGCGUAGCGUCCGCUGGCACAGCGCCGAACGCACGCAAUCAUCUUUUCCAAAUCGGACGAUCCCAACCAUCUCAUCUUCCUCAAAGCGUUCCAGCGCGUCACUUAAGCCAGAGCGUACCCCGCGAGGUAAAUCGCAUUGCGUGAUAUCACCGUUGACGAUAACCGUCACGUUCUCCCCGAGGCGGGU
RNAcentral lists this antisense RNA (192 nucleotides) under Escherichia albertii. RNAcentral's name for it is "Yersinia sRNA 251". It matches the Rfam family "Yersinia sRNA 251". From Rfam's summary of the family: Antisense to phoH gene. Trimmed on 5'end from the original size. Lineage: Bacteria; Pseudomonadati; Pseudomonadota; Gammaproteobacteria; Enterobacterales; Enterobacteriaceae. The record is from RNAcentral.